CCAAUAGCGUAUAUUAAAGUUGUUGCAGUUAAAAAGCUCGUAGUUGAAUUUCGAGAUCGGCUUACUGGUCGUGCUUUUGUACGUACUGGUAUAAUCGGUUUCUCCUUUCUGACGAACUUUAAUGCCAUUAAUUUGGUGUUUUAGGAAAUCAGGACUGUUACUUUGAAAAAAUUAGAGUGUUUAAAGCAGGCUCACGCUUGAAUACAUUAGCAUGGAAUAA
RNAcentral lists this ribosomal RNA (220 nucleotides) under uncultured Glomus. Its description in RNAcentral is "partial small subunit ribosomal RNA". It matches the Rfam family "Eukaryotic small subunit ribosomal RNA", at positions 591 to 817 of the family's 1831-position model. The record is from RNAcentral. Lineage: Eukaryota; Fungi; Glomeromycota; Glomeromycetes; Glomerales; Glomeraceae.